Trifolium pratense (red clover) is the source of this 103-nucleotide small nuclear RNA. The record is from RefSeq and is a predicted model, not a curated record. NCBI's taxonomy places the organism in Eukaryota, Viridiplantae, Streptophyta, Magnoliopsida, Fabales, Fabaceae.
UUUCCUUUCUAGGACAAUCUGAUAAAAUUGAAAUAAUAUAGAGAAGAUAGUAUGGUUCAUGCGCAAAAAAGACACACAAAUAAAAAAUAGAAAUUAUUCUUCU